RNAcentral lists this ribosomal RNA (317 nucleotides) under uncultured soil bacterium. Its description in RNAcentral is "bacterial SSU rRNA". It matches the Rfam family "Bacterial small subunit ribosomal RNA", at positions 26 to 342 of the family's 1533-position model. The record is from RNAcentral.
AGAUUGAACGCUGGCGGCGUGCUUAACACAUGCAAGUCGUGCGGUAACAGGCGUAGCAAUACGUGCUGACGAGCGGCGAACGGGUGCGUAAUACAUGGGAAUCUGCCUUUUAGUGGGGAAUAACCCGGCGAAAGCCGGGCUAAUGCCGCAUAAGAUCUUCGGAUGAAAGCGGGGGAUCGUAAGACCUCGCGCUGAUAGAUGAGCCCAUGCCGGAUUAGCUAGUUGGUGAGGUAACGGCUCACCAAGGCGACGAUCCGUAGCUGGUCUGAGAGGACGGCCAGCCACACUGGGACUGAGACCACGGCCCAGACUCCGUA